This 492-nucleotide ribosomal RNA is filed under the name uncultured bacterium. RNAcentral's name for it is "partial 16S ribosomal RNA". It matches the Rfam family "Bacterial small subunit ribosomal RNA", at positions 29 to 507 of the family's 1533-position model. The record is from RNAcentral.
AGUGAACGCUGGCGGUAGACCUAACACAUGCAAGUCGAACGGCAGCACAGUAAGAUUUUGCUUUUACGGUUGGCGGGUGGCGGACGAGUGACGCAUACAUCGGAUACUUCUUUUUCUGGGGUGAUAACGUAAGACCACUUCCGCUAAUACCUCAUAUUAUCAACCGUUGAAAUCAAAAGUUCUUGUCGCUUUUCGUGUUUCUACGAGCCGAUGUCGCAUUAGCUAGUUUGCGGGGUAAAGUCCCACCAAGCCAACGAUGCGUAGCUGGGCUGAGAGGAUGAUCAGCCACACUGGAACUGAGACACGGUCCAGACUCCUACGGGAGGCAGCAGUAGGGAAUAUUAGGCAAUGGGCGAAAGCCUGACCCAGCCAUGCCGCGUGGGUGAAGAAGGGCUUCGGAUUGUAAAGCUCUUUUGUUGGGGAAGAAAAGCAGCAGGUUAAUCCCCCGAUGUGCUGACGGUACCCAAAGAAUAAGCACCGGCUAACUUCGUG